This is a long non-coding RNA of Xiphophorus hellerii (green swordtail), 404 nucleotides long. RefSeq lists it as uncharacterized. Lineage: Eukaryota; Metazoa; Chordata; Actinopteri; Cyprinodontiformes; Poeciliidae. The transcript has 3 exons. The record is from RefSeq and is a predicted model, not a curated record.
AACAGAGAAGCCGAGGUGAGAGGAAGACGCCGGCUGUCACGACCGACGCCUGAGGCAUCUUCAAAGAUAAUGCAAACAUCGCUGAUGGACUCCAAUAAACACCCAUUUCAAUAAUUCACGUCUUUUGAGCGAAUUGUUUGCCUCUUUAACAAAUAGGGAUUACUUUUUAUUUACUUCUGAUUCCCUUUAAAAUAAAAGAUUCUUUGGGUCUACACAUAUGGAAACACAAGAACAGUCUAAAGAGUUUCUCAUCAUUUCGGAGUCCCUGCUCGAAAUUCAGCGAAAGAGGAAUUUCGGAGCCUCGUGCCGGAAGCCCGUUGAAAGGCUGUUUAAAUCGUUUUAAACUGUGUGAUUGUGAGCGUGAGUGGGAAUAAAAAUACCAAUAGUAUAAAAAAUUAUUUUAA